GCAUCGAUGAAGAACGCAGCGAAAUGCGAUAAGUAAUGUGAAUUGCAGAAUUCAGUGAAUCAUCGAAUCUUUGAACGCACAUUGCGCCCCCUGGCAUUCCGGGGGGCAUGCCUGUUCGAGCGUCAUUACACCACUCAAGCCUGGCUUGGUAUUGAGCGCCGCGGCCUGCCCGCGCGCUCCAAUGUCUCCGGCUGAGCCGUCCGUCUCUAAGCGUUGUGAAUAGCGAUCGCUUGCGAGGCCCGGGCGCGCUCGACGCCGUUAAACCCCCCAUUUUCUAUGGUUGACCUCGGAUCAGGUAGGGAUACCCGCUGAACUUAAGCAUAUCAAUAAGCGGAGGAA
This 339-nucleotide ribosomal RNA is filed under the name uncultured fungus. Its description in RNAcentral is "eukaryotic LSU rRNA". The stretch from base 1 to 125 matches the Rfam family "5.8S ribosomal RNA", at positions 30 to 154 of the family's 154-position model. Lineage: Eukaryota; Fungi. The record is from RNAcentral.